UCGAGAAUCUUCGUCAAUGGGCGAAAGCCUGAACGAGCGACGCCGCGUGCGGGAUGAAGGCCCUUGGGUUGUAAACCGCUGUCGAGGGGGAUGAAGGCUUGAAGGUACUCCUUCAAGUUUGACAGAGCCCUGGAGGAAGCACGGGCUAAGUUCGUGCCAGCAGCCGCGGUAAUACGAACUGUGCGAACGUUAUUCGGAAUCACUGGGCUUACAGGGUGCGUAGGCGGCCCGACAAGUCAGGUGUGAAAGCCCUCGGCUCAACCGAGGAACUGCGCUUGAAACUGUUGGGCUCGAGUCAGCUAGAGGUGCACGGAACUUCCAGUGGAGCGGUGAAAUGUGUUGAUAUUGGAAGGAACACCGGAGGCGAAAGCGGUGCACUGGGGCUGGUCUGACGCUGAGGCACGAAAGCCAGGGGAGCGAACGG
This 424-nucleotide ribosomal RNA is filed under the name uncultured bacterium. RNAcentral's name for it is "bacterial SSU rRNA". It matches the Rfam family "Bacterial small subunit ribosomal RNA", at positions 355 to 775 of the family's 1533-position model. The record is from RNAcentral.